AAGUCGUAACAAGGUUUCCGUAGGUGAACCUGCGGAAGGAUCAUUAACACAAGUAAAAAAACAUUUUACAACACCCUAUUAUGAAUUUAAAUUUUUUAAUUUUAAUUUUUUUAUAAAACUACAAAAAAAAAUUAAUUUAUUUGACUAACAUUUUUUUAAUUAAUUUAUUUAAAAUUUUAUAAAACAACUCUUAACAACGGAUAUCUUGGCUCUC
RNAcentral lists this unclassified non-coding RNA (214 nucleotides) under fungal sp. RNAcentral describes it as "partial internal transcribed spacer region". The stretch from base 1 to 46 matches the Rfam family "Eukaryotic small subunit ribosomal RNA", at positions 1786 to 1831 of the family's 1831-position model. The record is from RNAcentral. Lineage: Eukaryota; Fungi.